AAGUUACAGAAGUUGGGAAGCCAAUACCAGAAAAAAAAAAAAAAAAAAAAAACAUGACAUUUGAAGACCAGUCCAAGUAUGAAUUUUAGGACCAUAUGAAAAAACCAUAAUAAUGUAUGGGGUAUUGUGAAGUUAGGAACUUUUUUGGGGCUUUUAUAGAUAUAGGCAUAUUUUGGCCCAAAAAUUAGAAAAGAGACACAUUUGACUUGAGCUUAUAAGUUUAAGAACUUUUUGAUCUGUGAAAUGACAAUAUUGCCCUCAAUUCCCUUGUCUCUCUGUCGUGCGCCUGAUUUUUCCGACCAACAAUCUUCUGCUUCUCACCGCCGACUCAACACUCUAUCAAAAUCAUAAUUUUCAGGUCCAACAAAAUCGUUCCUUCACCUCUGACAACUCAUACAACAUUUUCUUCACCAACCUCCUCCGUUAAAAUCCGAUAGAUCUACUUAAAAGAGUGUUGAUGCAAAGAAUCUAAACUCUAUGGGGAUAAUGUCUAGGGAAUCCACGGAUUCUAAUUUUAGACACAAAUUAAAUCAAUUCAUUCUAAACCAAAUUUAGUUGCUAGUGUCGACGAAGCUUCCCAUCACGGUUUGUAACAUGAGAUCUUGAAAGCAGGCAGUCAAAGGCUGGUCGAUUAGGCCUUCAAACUGCAAUUUUCAAAUCUCAAAUUGGAGAUUGGAAAUCAGAUAAAUAUAACUUUUAUGGUCGUAUUUUGGGGCAAAAAG
This 722-nucleotide small RNA is filed under the name Arabidopsis thaliana (thale cress). RNAcentral's name for it is "ATSL153920". The record is from RNAcentral. Lineage: Eukaryota; Viridiplantae; Streptophyta; Magnoliopsida; Brassicales; Brassicaceae.